RNAcentral lists this ribosomal RNA (495 nucleotides) under uncultured bacterium. RNAcentral describes it as "bacterial SSU rRNA". It matches the Rfam family "Bacterial small subunit ribosomal RNA", at positions 28 to 526 of the family's 1533-position model. The record is from RNAcentral.
GAUGAACGCUAGCGACAGGCCUAACACGUGCAAGUCGAGGGGUAUGGUAGCAAUACCAGAGACCGGCGCACGGGUGAGUAACGCGUAUGCAACCUACCUGUUACAGGGGGAUAGCUUCCGGAAACGGAAAUUAAGACCGCAUAAGACAACAAUACAGCAUGGAAUAGUGGUUAAAUCUUUAUAGGUAACAGAUGGGCAUGCGUGGCAUUAGGUAGUUGGCGGGGUAACGGCCCACCAAGCCUGCGAUGCCUAGGGGUUCUGAGAGGAAGGCCCCCCACACUGGUACUGAGACACGGACCAGACUCCUACGGUAGGCAGCAGUGAGGAAUAUUGGUCAAUGGGCGCAAGCCUGAACCAGCCAUGUCGCGUGCAGGACGACGGCCCUACGGGUUGUAAACUGCUUUUGUACGGGAAGAAAAAAGACCACGUGUGGUCUCUUGCCGGUACCGUACGAAUAAGGAUCGGCUAACUCCGUGCCAGCCGCCGCGGUAAGAC